Molecule: long non-coding RNA, 364 nt
Organism: Gordionus sp. m RMFG-2023
Lineage: Eukaryota; Metazoa; Nematomorpha; Gordioida; Chordodea; Parachordodidae
Exons: 5
Source: RefSeq, a predicted model, not a curated record
GCUCAAGUUUUCAACAAAAUUUAGAUGAAGCUGCAUUCACUACCACUUAAAAUACAAAUCUGAUUGUACCUUCCACAAACACUUUGAUAACUCAAUCAAGUGCUGGUCAAAGCUCAAGUUUUCAACAAAAUGUAAAUGUAGAUGCACAGGCUUGGUUCACUGACACUGAAAAUACAAAUCUGAUUGUACCUUCCACAAACACUUCCUGUGCUGGUGAAAGUACAAUAAAUAUUGCAAAUGCUCUAAUUGACUUACAUCACAGUCAUAGUCCGCGAUUUAUAAAUAGCCAGAAAGGAAAACCUCUGUUAUUUUAUAACAUGUUUUUAUAUAGAAUUGAUCACCAUAAAGAUUUGAUUAGUUAUUA